This 672-nucleotide ribosomal RNA is filed under the name Pseudoalteromonas undina. RNAcentral describes it as "bacterial SSU rRNA". It matches the Rfam family "Bacterial small subunit ribosomal RNA", at positions 78 to 751 of the family's 1533-position model. Lineage: Bacteria; Pseudomonadati; Pseudomonadota; Gammaproteobacteria; Alteromonadales; Pseudoalteromonadaceae. The record is from RNAcentral.
UUGCUACUCUGGCGUCGAGCGGCGGACGGGUGAGUAAUGCUUGGGAACAUGCCUUGAGGUGGGGGACAACAGUUGGAAACGACUGCUAAUACCGCAUAAUGUCUACGGACCAAAGGGGGCUUCGGCUCUCGCCUUUAGAUUGGCCCAAGUGGGAUUAGCUAGUUGGUGAGGUAAUGGCUCACCAAGGCGACGAUCCCUAGCUGGUUUGAGAGGAUGAUCAGCCACACUGGGACUGAGACACGGCCCAGACUCCUACGGGAGGCAGCAGUGGGGAAUAUUGCACAAUGGGCGCAAGCCUGAUGCAGCCAUGCCGCGUGUGUGAAGAAGGCCUUCGGGUUGUAAAGCACUUUCAGUCAGGAGGAAAGGUUAGUAGUUAAUACCUGCUAGCUGUGACGUUACUGACAGAAGAAGCACCGGCUAACUCCGUGCCAGCAGCCGCGGUAAUACGGAGGGUGCGAGCGUUAAUCGGAAUUACUGGGCGUAAAGCGUACGCAGGCGGUUUGUUAAGCGAGAUGUGAAAGCCCCGGGCUCAACCUGGGAACUGCAUUUCGAACUGGCAAACUAGAGUGUGAUAGAGGGUGGUAGAAUUUCAGGUGUAGCGGUGAAAUGCGUAGAGAUCUGAAGGAAUACCGAUGGCGAAGGCAGCCACCUGGGUCAACACUGACGCUCAUG